This 460-nucleotide ribosomal RNA is filed under the name uncultured bacterium. RNAcentral describes it as "partial 16S ribosomal RNA". It matches the Rfam family "Bacterial small subunit ribosomal RNA", at positions 338 to 795 of the family's 1533-position model. The record is from RNAcentral.
CCUACGGGGUGCAGCAGUGAGGAAUAUUGGUCAAUGGGCGCGAGCCUGAACCAGCCAAGUCGCGUGAGGGAUGACGGCCCUGCGGGUUGUAAACCUCUUUUGCCGGGGAGCAACGGGCGUCACGUGUGGCGCCACUGAGAGUACCCGGAGAAAAAGCAUCGGCUAACUCCGUGCCAGCAGCCGCGGUAAUACGGAGGAUGCGAGCGUUAUCCGGAUUUAUUGGGUUUAAAGGGGGCGUAGGCGGAUCGUUAAGUCAGUGGUCAAAUUGAGGGGCUCAACCCCUUCCCGCCAUUGAAACUGGCGUUCUUGAGUGGAAGAGAAGUAUGCGGAAUGCGUGGUGUAGCGGUGAAAUGCAUAGAUAUCACGCAGAACCCCGAUUGCGAAGGCAGCAUGCCGGCUUCCGACUGACGCUGAAGCACGAAAGCGUGGGGAUCGAACAGGAUUAGAUACCCUGGUAGUC